This 508-nucleotide ribosomal RNA is filed under the name uncultured bacterium. RNAcentral's name for it is "partial 16S ribosomal RNA". It matches the Rfam family "Bacterial small subunit ribosomal RNA", at positions 29 to 523 of the family's 1533-position model. The record is from RNAcentral.
AUUGAACGCUGGCGGCAGGCCUAACACAUGCAAGUCGAGCGGCAGCGGGAAAGUAGCUUGCUACUUUUGCCGGCGAGCGGCGGACGGGUGAGUAAUGCCUGGGGAUCUGCCCAGUCGAGGGGGAUAACUACUGGAAACGGUAGCUAAUACCGCAUACGCCCUACGGGGGAAAGCAGGGGACAUUCGGGCCUUGCGCGAUUGGAUGAACCCAGGUGGGAUUAGCUAGUUGGUGAGGUAAUGGCUCACCAAGGCGACGAUCCCUAGCUGGUCUGGGAGGGUGAUCAGCAGCACGGGAACGAGAACACGGUCCAGACUCCUACGGGGGGCAGCAGUGGGGAAUGUUGCACAAUGGGGGAAACCCUGAUGCAGCCAUGCCGCGUGUGUGAAGGAGGCCUUCGGGUUGUAAAGCACUUUCAGCGAGGAGGAAAGGUUGGUAGCUAAUAACUGCCAGCUGUGACGUUACUCGCAGAAGAAGCACCGGCUAACUCCGUGCCAGCCGCCGCCGUAA